UACGUAGGGAGCAAGCGUUGUUCGGAUUUACUGGGCGUAAAGGGCGCGUAGGCGGCCUGUCAAGUCAACUGUGAAAUCUCCGGGCUUAACUCGGAACGGUCAGUUGAUACUGUCAGGCUAGAGUGCAGAAGGGGCAAUCGGAAUUCUUGGUGUAGCGGUGAAAUGCGUAGAUAUCAAGAGGAACACCUGAGGUGAAGACGGGUUGCUGGGCUGACACUGACGCUGAGGCGCGAAAGCGUGGGGAGCGAACAGG
Molecule: ribosomal RNA, 253 nt
Filed under: uncultured bacterium
Lineage: Bacteria
Description: partial 16S ribosomal RNA
Rfam family: Bacterial small subunit ribosomal RNA
Source: RNAcentral